This 75-nucleotide transfer RNA is filed under the name Candidatus Berkelbacteria bacterium. RNAcentral's name for it is "tRNA-Pro". It matches the Rfam family "tRNA". Rfam says of the family: Transfer RNA (tRNA) molecules are approximately 80 nucleotides in length. Their secondary structure includes four short double-helical elements and three loops (D, anti-codon, and T loops). Lineage: Bacteria; Candidatus Berkelbacteria. The record is from RNAcentral.
CGGGGAUUGGCCCAGCGGUAGGGCGCCGGCUUCGGGAGCCGGAGGUCGUGAGUUCAAAUCUCACAUCCCCGACCA